RNAcentral lists this ribosomal RNA (501 nucleotides) under uncultured bacterium. RNAcentral describes it as "bacterial SSU rRNA". It matches the Rfam family "Bacterial small subunit ribosomal RNA", at positions 8 to 518 of the family's 1533-position model. The record is from RNAcentral.
AGGGUUCGAUUCUGGCUCAGGAUGAACGCUGGCGGCGUGCUUAACACAUGCAAGUCGAACGGAGUUUAGAUGAAAGCUUGCUUUGACUAAACUUAGUGGCGGACGGGUGAGUAACGCGUGGGUAACCUGCCUUAUACAGGGGGAUAACAGUCGGAAACGACUGCUAAUACCGCAUAAGCGCACGGAAUCGCAUGAUUCAGUGUGAAAAGAUUUAUCGGUAUAAGAUGGACCCGCGUCUGAUUAGCUGGUUGGUGAGGUAACGGCCCACCAAGGCGACGAUCAGUAGCCGGCCUGAGAGGGUGAACGGCCACAUUGGGACUGAGACACGGCCCAAACUCCUACGGGAGGCAGCAGUGGGGAAUAUUGCACAAUGGGGGAAACCCUGAUGCCAGCGACGCCGCGUGAGUGAAGAAGUAUUUCGGUAUGUAAAGCUCUAUCAGCAGGGAAGAAAAUGACGGUACCUGACUAAGAGGCCCCGGCUAACUACGUGCCAGCCGCGGC